This 484-nucleotide ribosomal RNA is filed under the name uncultured bacterium. Its description in RNAcentral is "partial 16S ribosomal RNA". It matches the Rfam family "Bacterial small subunit ribosomal RNA", at positions 30 to 507 of the family's 1533-position model. The record is from RNAcentral.
AUUGAACGCUGGCGGCAUGCCUUACACAUGCAAGUCGAACGGCAGCGCGGGAGCAAUCCUGGCGGCGAGUGGCGAACGGGUGAGUAAUACAUCGGAACGUGCCCAAUCGUGGGGGAUAACGCAGCGAAAGCUGUGCUAAUACCGCAUACGAUCUACGGAUGAAAGCAGGGGAUCGCAAGACCUUGCGCGAAUGGAGCGGCCGAUGGCAGAUUAGGUAGUUGGUGAGGUAAAGGCUCACCAAGCCUUCGAUCUGUAGCUGGUCUGAGAGGACGACCAGCCACACUGGGACUGAGACACGGCCCAGACUCCUACGGGAGGCAGCAGUGGGGAAUUUUGGACAAAGGGCGAAAGCCUGAUCCAGCCAUGCCGCGUGCAGGAUGAAGGCCUUCGGGUUGUAAACUGCUUUUGUACGGAACGAAACGGUCUUUUCUAAUAAAGAAGGCUAAUGACGGUACCGUAAGAAUAAGCACCGGCUAACUACGUG